Long non-coding RNA from Oncorhynchus keta (chum salmon), 936 nucleotides. RefSeq lists it as uncharacterized. The transcript is spliced from 6 exons. NCBI's taxonomy places the organism in Eukaryota, Metazoa, Chordata, Actinopteri, Salmoniformes, Salmonidae. The record is from RefSeq and is a predicted model, not a curated record.
CAUCAGGUCAGUUAAAGAAAAGGAGACAUUUAGCAGAUGUCCAUGGUGGGAUCAGACCACCAGCAUAUCAACAGGGGGGGGUCUGAGUGGUGGGAUCAGACCACCAGCAUAUCAACAGGGGGGGGUCUGAGUGGUGGGAUCAGACCACCAGCAUAUCAACAGGGGGGGGGUCUGAGUGGUGGGAUCAGACCACCAGCAUAUCAACAGGGGGGGGUCUGAGUGGUGGGAUCAGACCACCAGCAUAUCAACAGGGGGGGGUCUGAGUGGUGGGAUCAGACCACCAGCAUAUCAACAGGGGGGGGUCUGAGUGGUGGGAUCAGACCACCAGCAUAUCAACAGGGGGGGGUCUGAGUGGUGGGAUCAGACCACCAGCAUAUCAACAGGGGGGGGUCUGAGUGGUGGGAUCAGACCACCAGCAUAUCAACAGGGGUGGGGUCUGAGUGGUGGGAUCAGACCACCAGCAUAUCAACAGGGGGGGGUCUGAGUGGUGGGAUCAGACCACCAGCAUAUCAACAGGGGGGGGGUCUGAGUGGUGGGAUCAGACCACCAGCAUAUCAACAGGGGGGGGGUCUGAGUGGUGGGAUCAGACCACCAGCAUAUCAACAGGGGGGGGGUCUGAGUGGUGGGAUCAGACCACCAGCAUAUCAACAGGGGGGGGUCUGAGUGGUGGGAUCAGACCACCAGCAUAUCAACAGGGGGGGGUCUGAGUGGUGGGAUCAGACCACCAGCAUAUCAACAGUGGGGGGGGGUCUGAGUGGUGGGAUCAGACCACCAGCAUAUCAACAGGGGGGGGUCUGAGUGGUAUCUGUCCCAGGGUGAACCUUUUCCCUCCAAACUCCUUGAGUUCCUCUUCACUCAGCUGGCUCUGGGGGGAGAAGAGACUGUUUUCUGCCCCCCCAGUCUCCCCUGCCCUUGCUGCCAAACCCCCAAACCCUC